AUUAGCUCAGUCGGUAGAGCACCUGACUUUUAAUCAGGGUGUCCCGGGUUCAAGUCCCGG
This 60-nucleotide transfer RNA is filed under the name uncultured Peptoniphilus sp. It matches the Rfam family "tRNA", at positions 8 to 63 of the family's 71-position model. Rfam says of the family: Transfer RNA (tRNA) molecules are approximately 80 nucleotides in length. Their secondary structure includes four short double-helical elements and three loops (D, anti-codon, and T loops). The record is from RNAcentral. Lineage: Bacteria; Bacillati; Bacillota; Tissierellia; Tissierellales; Peptoniphilaceae.